GAACUCCUGAGGAGUCUCAAAAUAGGACGAAACGGUCGUCAAGUGC
This 46-nucleotide non-coding RNA is filed under the name Schistosoma margrebowiei. The record is from RNAcentral. Lineage: Eukaryota; Metazoa; Platyhelminthes; Trematoda; Strigeidida; Schistosomatidae.